Molecule: ribosomal RNA, 616 nt
Filed under: Cerothallia subluteoalba
Lineage: Eukaryota; Fungi; Ascomycota; Lecanoromycetes; Teloschistales; Teloschistaceae
Description: eukaryotic LSU rRNA
Rfam family: 5.8S ribosomal RNA (bases 248-401)
Source: RNAcentral
GUAACAAGGUUUCCGUAGGUGAACCUGCGGAAGGAUCAUUAUCGAGAGCGGGGCUUCGCGCCCCCGGGGGGUUUCGGCCCCCCACCUCUUCAACCCGUGUGGACCGACCUCUGUUGCUUUGGCGAGCGCCGGGGCGCCUCUGGCGCCUCCGGCCCCGGCCCCUCACCGGGCCGGUGCGUUCUCGUCGGAGCCCCGUUUCCAUUCUGGUUUUGAGCGGCGUCCGAGCGGAACGAUGAAUUGAAGCAAAAACUUUCAACAACGGAUCUCUUGGUUCUGGCAUCGAUGAAGAACGCAGCGAAAUGCGAUAAGUAAUGUGAAUUGCAGAAUUCAGUGAAUCAUCGAAUCUUUGAACGCACAUUGCGCCCCUUGGUAUUCCGAGGGGCAUGCCUGUUCGAGCGUCAUUGCACCUCUCAAGCACUGCUUGGUAUUGAGCCUUUCGCCGCGAGGCGUGCUCGAAAGAUAGUGGCGGUCCCGGGAGACCUUCGAGCGCAGUAAAGCAUUUUCCGCUCCGAAGACAGUCGCCGGUGGCCCAGCCGUGAAACCCCCCGUUCGUCCGCGAACGACCCGACAAAUUGACCUCGGAUCAGGUAGGGAUACCCGCUGAACUUAAGCAUUC